Molecule: long non-coding RNA, 1541 nt
Organism: Lemur catta (Ring-tailed lemur)
Lineage: Eukaryota; Metazoa; Chordata; Mammalia; Primates; Lemuridae
Exons: 2
Source: RefSeq, a predicted model, not a curated record
AUGGUGAUAGUGGUUUCCCUUGUCUCAUUCUUGCCUUUAAAAGGCAUGCUUCUAGUAUUUCCCUACCGUAUGAGCUCCUGGCUUUGGGCUAAGGCACAUUAAGAAAGUUUCUAUUUAUUCCCAUUUUAUUGAGUGUUUUUAGGAAGGAGUAGAGAAUUCCUAGGUCCAACUGAGCAUUGUUUGAUAAAAUGAGCAGUCAAGGAUGUACAGAAGAAAAUAAAGCUAACAAGUUAGUCACAUGGAUGCUGUCAGAAGACAUGAGGCUCCUGGAUCAGAGAAGAAGGAAAUUUAUUACUCAUAGCCAUAGCAAUAGCUAGAGUACAAGCAUUUUGGCAUCAGUUCUCUGAGCCUCUAUUCCCAUAGUAUGAUGUGAAUAGAACUAGAUAAUACCUAUAUACAUAGUAGGUUAUGUUAUGGAAGAGAAACCAUGAACUUAAGGAAAUCUGAAUAUUUUAUUAUGGACAAUAAGUAUAUCUUCCUUUUGCUCUAGAGGAAACAUUAUUUCUAUUUACCAAAGCUGUUCAUUGUACAAAUAUCCUUGAAAAGAUAGUCUAGAACAGAAGACAGUCAGCACCUCUGCUCACAAGAGGUACAGAAACAUGCAAGACCCAUGGAAAAUUGUCUCCUCACAUUUAUACCUUUUGAUAAUAACUUAUAUAUAUUCUGAUUAAUUAGUAAUAACUCACAUGUUCAGAUGAAGACAUGGCAAAACUUGAAAUUUUAAGCUCAACCUAGCACAUUUACAAAGUCAUCAGUCUGAAAUAAUCAGAAGUUGCCAUAUAGACAAGGAUUUGUGUGAAAGAGCCUAUGGUUAUUAAUAAUUAUAAAAUGACAUAUAUUCACUAAUAUUUGGCAGCAACUGGAUUGUGAUAUUAUGUCAGUUGUUAUGAAUCUUUUUCUGUCCUAUUGUCAUUCUUUUCAUACUGGGGAAAUUACUCUGCUGUUUUCCCAAAGUCAAUCUUGGAGUGAUGUGAGUAGCAGAGUGACAAGUCUGCAAGUCAGUUGAUAACUGCUGGAUAUGCACACAAGAUGAUGACAUAGGUGAUGCCUUACAAUGGGGAUACCCUCUCUGGGGGAAGCAAGACAUCAUGGGCCACAAAAUCCUUAUUACAAAUUAGAAUGAAGAUCAAGAAUUGCCUAUAGAAUUGAGAAAUUUUGAGGGGGCCAAAAGUGUAAGUUUAGCCUAACUAAAGUAGAAAUGCUAACAGAAGGAUUCUGGCAGACAUCAUACAGAGGCAGUUUGUCAUGAACACUGCUCAGCUUACUUUCUCAUAGAAUCCAGAAGUACUAAAAUAGUUUUUACUAAUAGCUCGUCAACCUGUUCCAGGGCAGACUGUGCCCAUGCUGGUCUUUUUGAUGGCUUCCAGCCAAUCAGCUUACCCAAAGAAAAGCAAAAACACACUGACCUCAGAUAGUCUGCAUGUUUUUUUCCAACUCUGUCUCUCUCUUUUAUAAAUUCUGUUUUUGCUAUUUUUUGUUGACAACUGUUUAAUGACUGACUCUCAUUUUAUGCAAGAAUAAAAUUUUUGUGUGAAUAUUAA